Molecule: ribosomal RNA, 253 nt
Filed under: uncultured bacterium
Lineage: Bacteria
Description: partial 16S ribosomal RNA
Rfam family: Bacterial small subunit ribosomal RNA
Source: RNAcentral
UACGAGGGGAGCAAGCGUUGUUCGGAAUUACUGGGCGUAAAGCGUGCGCAGGCGGUGAUGUAAGACAGAUGUGAAAUCCCCGGGCUCAACCUGGGAACUGCAUUUGUGACUGCAGGGCUAGAGUACGGUAGAGGGGGAUGGAAUUCCGCGUGUAGCAGUGAAAUGCGUAGAUAUGCGGAGGAACACCGAUGGCGAAGGCAAUCCCCUGGACCUGUACUGACGCUCAUGCACGAAAGCGUGGGGAGCAAACAGG